Molecule: long non-coding RNA, 1324 nt
Filed under: Meriones unguiculatus (Mongolian gerbil)
Lineage: Eukaryota; Metazoa; Chordata; Mammalia; Rodentia; Muridae
Description: lncRNA (ENSMUGG00000026219.1)
Source: RNAcentral
AAAGUUUCCAUUCAACUACCCACAGGUCAAGACCACCAUCCCCAGAUUGCAAAGAUGCUCUGAAACUGCAGUGCCUGGACUGAAGUGAGGAGUUUGGCCUGGAGCUCAGCAGGGGCCUGAGAGGUUCCAGGACCUUCCCAUCCAGAGAUCACCUCGUGGGGGCUAAACGCUCCUACCCACCUUCUCGCCAAGCACAGGACGCCUCUGCAGCGCCACCUACAGGCAGAAUGCGCAUGGCGCAGCGACUCUGUCAGCCUCGGCGGCCGGAACUGGUGUCACAUAGAGAACAGGAGAGAUCUGCUCCUCUGCCCCCAACCCUCCAACUUCCUUGGAUGACACAUGGUCUUCCUUAGCCGCCCCUGCCCUAAAGUGUCCCUGUUAGACUGGCUCCAAAUUCAAGCCCUGCCUGACUCAGGCAGCCGGUGAUCUAACGUUUCCACUCCUGCUGCUGCACUCUAAGCGGCCUCCUGCCCCAGGGCGCCUCUUCCUGGGAAGCAGUCAAGUCACGCUGGGCCCCGGAUCUGCUGACGAGAAUCCUCCGCCCUGCCGGCACACCCCUUGAAAUUUGUCUCAAUUCCUUCUUUCUUCCUCCCGCCCCUCCAUCUCCUUCAUUUCAUCCCUGUCUCUGAGGCUAGCAGGAGCGGCUGGGCUCCAGGGAAAAGCAGCUGGGAAAAAAAGAGUCCACGUGGAGACCUCCUGCACACUGUGUCAGCCCCACCGAGUAACACUGUUACUUAGGUGCACAAGAAUUCCAAGCUGGAAGUAGCAAUAUGUUUGCACUUUGGGCAACACUGCCACCGCCUGAGGGAAGGGGCCAUUGAGAGGAUUGCUGGAGAGCCAUCUUCCUUCUUUCGGAUCUUAUGAUUGUCUAGGAAAUUCUGAAACCCGGGGUCUUAUCUUUGGAACUCCCUGUACUACUGAACGUGGUUUGCUGGGGCUAGGGGUGGCUCAAUAAGGCUUGUGCCACCAAGGGAACCAGUUUGGAGUGUUCUAAGCUUUGAACUGUCCUGGAACCAUUAAUCAAGUAAAGAUGAUUACCUGAUGUGUCAUCAUAGCUGUUCCUUCUGGAACUUGGUACUGGAGAGGUUCAGGUUGAGGUGGAGGGGACUUUGAGGUGGUUUUUACCACAUCCUUUUGUACCACUAUAUGAGAAUAGUGGAAGGAUAAGAUAAUUGACUUGUCUUACUGGGUGAAAGCCAGAAUCCCACAUAUGUUGCCUGGAAUAUUCUUUCAGCAUGAUAGCUGAAGGCCUCAGGCUCAGGUAGGGUGUAAGGGAUAGCUUUAAGCUGGACCUCUGAUGUUUGAAACACAAAACCUGAACCUG